RNAcentral lists this ribosomal RNA (378 nucleotides) under uncultured bacterium. RNAcentral's name for it is "bacterial SSU rRNA". It matches the Rfam family "Bacterial small subunit ribosomal RNA", at positions 28 to 407 of the family's 1533-position model. The record is from RNAcentral.
GACGAACGCUGGCGGCGUGCUUAACACAUGCAAGUCGAGCGGUAAGGCCCUUUCGGGGGUACACGAGCGGCGAACGGGUGAGUAACACGUGGGCGACCUGCCCUUAGCUCUGGGAUAAGCCUGGGAAACUGGGUCUAAUACCGGAUAUGACUCCAUGACGCAUGUUGUGGGGUGGAAAGCCUUGUGCGGCUAGGGAUGGGCCUGCGGCCUAUCAGCUUGUUGGUGGGGUGAUGGCCUACCAAGGCGACGACGGGUAGCCGGCCUGAGAGGGCGACCGGCCACACUGGGACUGAGACACGGCCCAGACUCCUACGGGAGGCAGCAGUGGGGAAUCUUGCGCAAUGGGCGAAAGCCUGACGCAGCGACGCCGCGUGGGGA